This 2036-nucleotide long non-coding RNA is filed under the name Citrus sinensis (sweet orange). RNAcentral describes it as "long non-coding RNA (CSIN_LNC001684)". The record is from RNAcentral. Lineage: Eukaryota; Viridiplantae; Streptophyta; Magnoliopsida; Sapindales; Rutaceae.
UUUUAAUUGGAAAGCUUCAACACAGAAAUCUUGUUGGCCUUCUCGGCAGCUGCAUUGAAGAGGAUGAAAGAAUGCUGAUCUAUGAGUAUAUGCCCCACAAAAGCUUGGAUUACUUUAUCUUUGGUAGCACUUCUUAUCCUAACAUCAGUCACUUAGUAGUUACACAUAUGCUAUUAAUUAUCCAAUAUGAUUUUAUUUUUUUUAUGUCAAGGUAAAAAUUGUAAAUUAUACACAACGUCAAAUUCAAGAGUUACUAAAGUUCACUAUAACCUGCAGAUCGUGAGAGAAGCAAGCUAUUGCCAUGGAAAAAGCGCUUUUCCAUAAUCACUGGGAUUGCCAGAGGACUUCUCUACCUCCACCAAGAUUCAAAGCUUCAAGUAAUACAUAGGGAUCUAAAAGCUAGCAACAUUUUGCUUGAUAUAAACCUGAAUCCUAAAAUUUCAGACUUUGGUUUGGCAAGAAUUUUCGGAGGAGAUGACGAAGAAGCACAGACAGAGAGAGUUGCAGGAACACAGUAAGUUUUGUUCCUGUAAUAUUAAUUAUUUAGCAUUCGAAAUAAAUUAUAUAGUUCAUACUUUGAUGCAGUGGCUAUAUGUCCCCUGAGUAUGCCAACGAUGGCACAAUUUCAAUGAAAUCUGAUGUCUUUAGCCUGGGAGUGCUCCUGGUUGAGAUUGUAAGUGGUAAAAUGAAUAGAGGCUUUCGCCACCCUGGUCACCGUCACAAUCUUAUUGGACACGUAAGUAGAAAGAAUGAGUGCUGCUUCCUCCUUCAAACAGAACUCACUCUUUUAAGUAUAUAAAGCAUGAUUGCUGCAAUAUUUUCAGGCAUGGUUGCUGUGGAAUGAUGGAAGAGCCCUAGAACUAAUGGACAUAUGUUUAGAAGAUUCUUUCGUUGAAUCUCAAGUUCUGAGAUGUAUUCAAGUGGGUUUAUUGUGUGUCCAAAAGUUACCUGAAGACAGGCCUGAUAUGUCAUCUGUAGUUUUCCUGUUGGCGAACGAUGGGGUCACGUUGCCUCAGCCUAGACAACCAGGUUUCUUCACCGAAAGAGGUUUCACUGUAGGUGCAUUAUCAAGUCAUGAAAAAUGUCACUCAGAAAAUGCAUUAAGUAUAACCAUUCAGGAAGGCAGAUAGCACUCUACAGCCUGGUUAAAUUGCAGUCUUGCUUUCAGACAUGCUAAUACGUGUAAAUUUUUAUCACUUCAUAAAAUUUAAGGUCUUCCUUUUCAUUGAAAAGCCAUAAGAAGUAAUUAAUUGUUUCCAUAAAUGAACUGGUGAUCAGAUUCAUAACCAUUGCUAGGAUGUCAAAAUAUUCAUGUUUGGGAACUGUAGAAAUUUUUGUCAUUUCAUAAAAUUUAAGGUCUUGCUUUUCAUUGAAAAACUUUAAGAAGUAAUUAAUUGUUUCCAUAAAUGGACUGGUGAUCAUUAUUCACAACCAUUGUAUGAUUAGGAUGUCAAAAUAUUCAAGUUUUGGAACUGUAAAUUAUGUAAGCAAUUAGUUGGUCUUAGUAUCCUAAUGCAAAGUUUGUUGAAUUUGCAAUUCUAUUCCAUAUAAUAGAUCAACCAACUUGUACACAAAGACAAACUGAUAAAAUCAACAAUUUUUAAACAUUUCAUUGUGCCAAACUAUCAGGAUGACUCCAAGAUACCUGCCUGUUCUGGGAAGACCUUUUGUUCCUGUUUCAAGUGUGGCAGCAGCUAUUAUGGCUGAAAUCCACUGAGAGGAAUUUGCCAAUCAAUUUGACUCCAAGAUACCUGCCUGGGCAUUCAAAACCGAAGCUGUAAUCCACUCAUCUCAUGUGGCACCAACUAUGUGAUAAAUUAAAUAUCAUCUUCUCAAUGAGAGGAAUUUGCCAAUCAAUCGACCCAAUAGAUGCCUAAAUGUAUACGCAGCAAUACGGUAGAGAAUUAUCUUCUCUACGAAUUCAGGAAACUGCAAAAUUAUUUCUUUUCCGAUGUUUCAAAUGCAUUUCCAUUUUGUCUUUUAUGCCAAACUCUCAAAAUAUUUUGGUCAACAUAGUGGGGUUUAUAGUUCCUUCA